CUACGGGUCGCUCCAGUCGAGAAUCUUCCACAAUGCACGAAAGUGUGAUGGAGCGACGUCGCGUGCGAGAUGAAGGCCUUCGGGUCGUAAAUCGUUUUUAUAAGGGAAGAAUUUAGAUGACAUUACCUUAUGAAUAAGGGGUUGCUAAUUGCGUGCCAGCAGCAGCGGUAAUACGCAAACCCCAAGCGUUAUCCGGAUUUAUUGGGCGUAAAGGGUGGGUAGGCGGAUAUAGCAGUCAGUCGUUAAAUCACUGGGCUCAACCCAGUAAUCGCGAUUGAAACACUAUGUCUAGAGAUAAGUAGAGGUCAACGGAACUCAUGGUGUAGCAGUGAAAUGCGUUGAUAUCAUGGGGAACACCAAAGGCGAAGGCAGUUGACUGGGCUUUAUCUGACGCUGAGCCACGAAAGCGUGGGGAGUGAAGGGGAUUAGAUACCCCAGUAGUC
This 443-nucleotide ribosomal RNA is filed under the name uncultured bacterium. Its description in RNAcentral is "partial 16S ribosomal RNA". It matches the Rfam family "Bacterial small subunit ribosomal RNA", at positions 339 to 795 of the family's 1533-position model. The record is from RNAcentral.